CCUGUGACAUACCUAUAACGUUGCCUCGGCGGGAACAGACGGCCCCGUAACACGGGCCGCCCCCGCCAGAGGACCCCCUAACUCUGUUUCUAUAAUGUUUCUUCUGAGUAAACAAGCAAAUAAAUUAAAACUUUCAACAACGGAUCUCUUGGCUCUGGCAUCGAUGAAGAACGCAGCGAAAUGCGAUAAGUAAUGUGAAUUGCAGAAUUCAGUGAAUCAUCGAAUCUUUGAACGCACAUUGCGCCCGCCAGUAUUCUGGCGGGCAUGCCUGUUCGAGCGUCAUUACAACCCUCAGGCCCCCGGGCCUGGCGUUGGGGAUCGGCGGAAGCCCCCUGCGGGCACAACGCCGUCCCCCAAAUACAGUGGCGGUCCCGCCGCAGCUUCCAUUGCGUAGUAGCUAACACCUCGCAACUGGAGAGCGGCGCGGCCACGCCGUAAAACACCCAACUUCUGAAUGUUGACCUCGAAUCAGGUAGGAAUACCCGCUGAACUUAAGCAU
This 499-nucleotide ribosomal RNA is filed under the name Fusarium oxysporum f. sp. lycopersici. RNAcentral's name for it is "eukaryotic LSU rRNA". The stretch from base 129 to 282 matches the Rfam family "5.8S ribosomal RNA". The record is from RNAcentral. Lineage: Eukaryota; Fungi; Ascomycota; Sordariomycetes; Hypocreales; Nectriaceae.